CGGGACACGUGGUAUCCUGUCUGAAUAUGGGGGGACCAUCCUCCAAGGCUAAAUACUCCUGACUGACCGAUAGUGAACCAGUACCGUGAGGGAAAGGCGAAAAGAACCCCGGCGAGGGGAGUGAAAAAGAACCUGAAACCGUGUACGUACAAGCAGUGGGAGCACGCUUCGGCGUGUGACUGCGUACCUUUUGUAUAAUGGGUCAGCGACUUAUAUUCUGUAGCAAGGUUAACCGAAUAGGGGAGCCGAAGGGAAACCGAGUCUUAACUGGGCGUUAAGUUGCAGGGUAUAGACCCGAAACCCGGUGAUCUAGCCAUGGGCAGGUUGAAGGUUGGGUAACACUAACUGGAGGACCGAACCGACUAAUGUUGAAAAAUUAGCGGAUGACUUGUGGCUGGGGGUGAAAGGCCAAUCAAACCGGGAGAUAGCUGGUUCUCCCCGAAAGCUAUUUAGGUAGCGCCUCGUGAAUUCAUCUCCGGGGGUAGAGCACUGUUUCGGCAAGGGGGUCAUCCCGACUUACCAACCCGAUGCAAACUGCGAAUACCGGAGAAUGUUAUCACGGGAGACACACGGCGGGUGCUAACGUCCGUCGUGAAGAGGGAAACAACCCAGACCGCCAGCUAAGGUCCCAAAGUCAUGGUUAAGUGGGAAACGAUGUGGGAAGGCCCAGACAGCCAGGAUGUUGGCUUAGAAGCAGCCAUCAUUUAAAGAAAGCGUAAUAGCUCACUGGUCGAGUCGGCCUGCGCGGAAGAUGUAACGGGGCUAAACCAUGCACCGAAGCUGCGGCAGCGACACUAUGUGUUGUUGGGUAGGGGAGCGUUCUGUAAGCCUGUGAAGGUGUACUGUGAGGUAUGCUGGAGGUAUCAGAAGUGCGAAUGCUGACAUAAGUAACGAUAAAGCGGGUGAAAAGCCCGCUCGCCGGAAGACCAAGGGUUCCUGUCCAACGUUAAUCGGGGCAGGGUGAGUCGACCCCUAAGGCGAGGCCGAAA
This 989-nucleotide ribosomal RNA is filed under the name Escherichia coli. RNAcentral describes it as "partial 23S ribosomal RNA". It matches the Rfam family "Bacterial large subunit ribosomal RNA", at positions 418 to 1407 of the family's 2925-position model. The record is from RNAcentral. Lineage: Bacteria; Pseudomonadati; Pseudomonadota; Gammaproteobacteria; Enterobacterales; Enterobacteriaceae.